UACAGAGGUCUCAAGCGUUGUUCGGAUUCAUUGGGCGUAAAGGGUGCGUAGGUGGCAUGAUAAGUCGGAUGUGAAAUCCCGGGGCUCAACCCCGGAACUGCAUUCGAUACUGCUGCGCUAGAGUACUGGAGAGGAGAUUGGAAUUUACGGUGUAGCAGUGAAAUGCGUAGAUAUCGUAAGGAAGACCAGUGGCGAAGGCGGAUCUCUGGACAGUUACUGACACUGAGGCACGAAGGCCAGGGGAGCAAACGGG
RNAcentral lists this ribosomal RNA (253 nucleotides) under uncultured bacterium. RNAcentral describes it as "partial 16S ribosomal RNA". It matches the Rfam family "Bacterial small subunit ribosomal RNA", at positions 524 to 776 of the family's 1533-position model. The record is from RNAcentral.